Molecule: ribosomal RNA, 251 nt
Filed under: uncultured bacterium
Lineage: Bacteria
Description: partial 16S ribosomal RNA
Rfam family: Bacterial small subunit ribosomal RNA
Source: RNAcentral
UACGAAGGGGGCUAGCGUUGCUCGGAAUCACUGGGCGUAAAGCGCACGUAGGCGGCUUUUUAAGUCAGGGGUGAAAUCCUGGAGCUCAACUCCAGAACUGCCUUUGAUACUGAGAAGCUUGAGUCCGGGAGAGGUGAGUGGAACUGCGAGUGUAGAGGUGAAAUUCGUAGAUAUUCAAGAACACCAGUGGCGAAGGCGGCUCACUGGCCCGGUACUGACGCUGAGGUGCGAAAGCGUGGGGAGCAAACAGG